Molecule: ribosomal RNA, 394 nt
Filed under: Sympetrum eroticum
Lineage: Eukaryota; Metazoa; Arthropoda; Insecta; Odonata; Libellulidae
Description: partial 16S ribosomal RNA
Source: RNAcentral
UUACGCUGUUAUCCCUAAGGUAACUUACUCUAGCAAUCACUAAAAAUGGAUCUAAAAAUCAUACAUCAAUGGUAAAUAAAUGAAAAAGUUAAUUAUAUAUUUUUGUCACCCCAACAAAAUAUAAUUUUACUACAAUUAUGUUAAUAUAUAAAUAAAUACAAAAAAUUAUAUAAAGAUCUAUAGGGUCUUCUCGUCUUCCAAUAUUAUUUUAGCUUUUUAACUAAAAAAUUAAAUUUUAAAACAAAUAAAAUGAGACAGUCAAUUCCUCGUUAAACCGUUCAUUCCAGCCCUCUAUUAAAAGACUAAUGAUUAUGCUACCUUUGCACGGUCAAUAUACCGCGGCCGUUAAAUUCAUCACUGGGCAGGUCAGACCUUAAAUUAAAUUCUAAAGGCC